Chiloscyllium plagiosum (whitespotted bambooshark) is the source of this 2277-nucleotide non-coding RNA. Lineage: Eukaryota; Metazoa; Chordata; Chondrichthyes; Orectolobiformes; Hemiscylliidae. The record is from RefSeq and is a predicted model, not a curated record.
UGGUAUGUCAACUUUAUGGUUAGGGUGAGUUUCGAACGCAUUUGCUUUACAAGGAUUGGAAAAUUCAAUUUACAUGGAUUUGCAAGUUAAAAAUGCGUUUGAUUUGCAUUGUCAAGCUAUGGAGUGUUCAGUGAACGGCGCUACAUUAAUGCAGGUCACUUCGUCCCCAGCUUAAAGAGCUGGCACCGGCCAGCUGCUCCACGCGCUCGUGCAGGUGCUGGCGGUCCCCGCUCUGUGAUUGGUGGAGCUGGUCCCGCGCUGAUCUCGCGGUGUUUGUGUUUUGGCGCCUUGGCAGGCGGCAGGUGGUGGGCGCCGGGCGCCAUGUUGGAGGAAUUCUAUUCGGAUUUCUUCCCGGCGCCUCUCACUCGCCUGGCGGCCCCGCAGUUGCGGGAGUCCUGCGAGCAGCCUGCGGCGAGCCGUCGGGCCUCGGAGGCGGUGCGGAGGGCGGGAGUGGCGGCGCCUUUGUUCCGGGAGCCGUUUGUGAAGGAGGCCCUCAGUCCCGAGGAUGGAGGGAGUCCGGCUCACAGCGGGAAAACGGGCGGGUCGGCCGGGCCGGGCCUGUCUGUGGAGAGCGGAGACCAGGCCGCCGCCGGGAAGGUGCCAGGGCCGAGGUGUUGGGCCGCUCCCCCACCCAAGGCUGCCAGUGAUCGGACACCGAGCCCCGACCUUGUGGUCCCGGAUUCCGAUGACAUGGAGGAAGCCGAGGAAAACCGAUCCAAGUGGGAGCGACCCCGCUGCCCUCCUGCUGCUAUCAGGGAGGGCCCCCCAAUCACAUCCCUCAGGACCCAGGGGGCAGAUGAUGCAAGCGCCAGGUUGGUACCAGCAGCAAGAGAGGCCCCAAACCACAAGGAGGAUUUGAUGGGCCCAGCCAGACUUGCAGUUUCCCAGGAGAAUGAAGCAGUGUCUGGAGAUUGCGGGGUCUCUUCCUUCCCCCAUUCUGUAACUGAGCUGCAAGACCAAGUGGUGAUUGAGUACUGGCUUCCUGAAGAAUAAAGAAAUGGUGCCCACCAUUCAUGACAUUUAAUAAUAAAUCUAUUAUAGGUAGCUUAUCUUAUAUGUCAGUGAUAAUGCUUCAAGUACUGCCAGCCAUUAUAGCCAGAACAGCUACAAAAAAGUCACAUUUUGGAAAUCAGUCAGGUGAUAUUGGUGAUUGAAAUCUUAAAACUAUUUAACUGUCUGGAGGCUCGGGCUGUCAGAACAUUGAAAUUCUAUCUACCAACGCAUUGACAGCCUUACUAUUGUGAACAAUGUAGAGCUAUUUGAAUUUGAGAGUCUUGCUGAAUGACCAGUUGGAAUUCAAAUUGCUAUUGAUAGAAAAUAGUAUGACAUCCAAGUGGUAUGCAACCCUUAUAGGAAAGUAUGGUUAUAUUUAUUAACCAGUGAUAUAAAAUAUUUAAUUAACUGGCAAAAGCCAGCAGUUCUGUUAGGGUAUAGCAGUCAUGUUAAUUUCUACAUUUGUUAUUUCUAACCAUUCCGUCUCGCUUUCAAUGAAAACAGUUGAAUUUGUUGCAAUUGGGCAGUCACUUGACACAAGAUCGGUAUCUUUGUUACUUCAUUUAAUAUUUUGUUUUAUGCUUGGCAUAGAACAUUGCAAUUUAAACUGCACUUUUCAUGUUGCAUUUCAACUUUUCAAAUUCUAAUAUAUAAUCCAUGCUAUUUUUGUUAGCAAAGUGUUAAUUUAUUCCAUGUGCAGAUGGUUAAUAUUCAAAAUGUGUGAAUGUUAGAUAUCUUAGUAAAUAUCUGAAUGUGAUUAAGAUUUGACAUUAGCUUACUUCCUAUUAGUACGAUGUGUAAAAUUAUAGUCUAUACAGUGCUUGACAACUAAUUCAUUUUAAAAUGUCAUUAUGAUCUGUUGAAAGAAAUUGACAUAAUAUCUCAAGAGCUGAAGUACCUGAUCAACAACUCGUCAAGAAGGCUUGAUAAUAUUGUCCAUUUCUACACUUAGUUAUGUUUCAACCAUCUGCUGAACCAGGCUAUUGCACCGACGAAGCUUAAGCAAAUUGGUUAUAACGAAGACUUCUGCAUCAGUAGCUUAGCCAUUUUACACAGCACUUAUCUACCAAGUGAUAGAAUGUUAAAAUUCUGGUUGGUACACAAUGAGCAAAGUAUGCUCUUAGACACAGUCAAAAACUAUAAACAUCACUGACCUUGAUGAAGGUGACCACCUUUGCUCCUGAGUUCAUCUUUUAUAUCUUUGAAGAGAUUUACUCAACUGCCAGUUGAGACUGGAACAUCAUCACAUAUAUUCCUAUGCUGAAAGACCUGCUGAGUUUCUUC